This 1134-nucleotide long non-coding RNA is filed under the name Homo sapiens (human). RNAcentral describes it as "non-protein coding lnc-GALE-4:1". The record is from RNAcentral. Lineage: Eukaryota; Metazoa; Chordata; Mammalia; Primates; Hominidae.
AUGGAGUUUUCGCUCUUGUUGCCCAGGCUGGAGUGCAAUGGCGCAAUCUCAGCUCACCGCAACCUCCGCCUCCCGGGUUCAAGCGAUUCUCCUGCCUCAGCCUCCCUAGUAGCUGGGAUUACAGGCAUGUGCCACCACGCUCGGCUAAUUUUGUAUUUUUUUUUAGUAGAGAUGGAGUUUCUCCAUGUUGGUCAGGCUGGUCUCGAACUCCCGACCUCAGAUGAUCCUCCCGUCUCGGCCUCCCAAAGUGCUGAGAUUACAGGCAUGAGCCACCAUGCCCGGCCUCUGCCUGGCUAAUUUUUGUGGUAGAAACAGGGUUUCACUGAUGUUGCCCAAGCUGGUCUCCUGAGCUCAAGCAGUCCACCUGCCUCAGCCUCCCAAAGUGCUGGGAUUACAGGCGUGAGCCACCGUGCCUGGCCUUUUUAUUUUAUUUUUUUUAAGACACAGGUGUCCCACUCUUACCCAGGAUGAAGUGCAGUGGUGUGAUCACAGCUCACUGCAGCCUUCAACUCCUGAGAUCAAGCAAUCCUCCUGCCUCAGCCUCCCAAGUAGCUGGGACCAAAGACAUGCACCACUACACCUGGCUAAUUUUUAUUUUUAUUUUUAAUUUUUUGAGACAGAGUCUCACUCUGUCACCCAGGCUGGAGUGCAGUGGCGCAAUCUUGGCUCACUGCAACCUCUGCCUCCCGGGUUCAAGUUAUUCUCCUGCCCCAGCCUCCUGAGUAGCUGGGACUACAGGCGCCCACCACGCCUAGCUAAUUUUUUUGUAUUUUUAGUAGAGAUGGGGUUUCACCAUGUUCGCCAGGUUGGUCUUGAUCUCUUGACCUUGUGAUCUGCCUGCCUCGGCCUCCCAAAGUGCUGGGAUUACAGGCGUGAGCCACCACGCCCGGCCUAUUUUUAAUUUUUGUUUGUUUGAAAUGGAAUCUCACUCUGUUACCCAGGCUGGAGUGCAAUGGCACAAUCUCGGCUCACUGCAACCUCUGCCUCCCGGGUUCAAGCGAUUCUCCUGUCUCAGCCUCCCAAGCAGCUGGGAUUACGGGCACCUGCCAACACCCCGCUAAUUUUUGUAUUUUCAUUAGAGGCGGGGUUUCACCAUAUUUGUCAGGCUGGUCUCAAACUCCUGACCUCAGGUGA